CACAGUGUCCCUGUGUAUUAGUCGGAGUUCUCCAGAAAAACAGAACCUAUGUAUAGAUAGGUAUAUAGGUAGAUACAUACAGUUGACACGUGAACAACACAAGGGCUAGUAAAAUAUCUGCAAUAACUUAACCCUACUGUUGACUGCAAGCCUUACUGAUAACAUAAAUGGUCAAUUAACACAUACUUUGUAUGUUAUCUGUAUCAUAUACUCUAUUCUUACAAUAAAGUAAGCUAGAGAAAAGAAAAUGUUAAGACCAUAAUAAAGAGAAAAUACAUUUAUAGCACUGUGCUGUAAAAAAUCUGCAUAUAAAUGGACACAGUUCAAACCCAUGUCGUUCAAGUCUCAAUUGUAUACAGUUUAUGUAUAUACAGAGAGAGAGAGAGAGAGGGAGAACUACUGUAAGGAACUGGCCCACACACUCAAGAAGGCUAAGAAGUCUAAGAUCUGUAGUCCCAGGUCAAGGAUAGUGAGGCAGAGAGAAAGAAUUCAUCUAACUCAUGGUUAUUAAAUUAACCAUCACACUGUCUUCUCUCUUUUUUCCCCUUUCCUGUUUUGGUCUCUAUCUUUAUUUUUAGGGGCUUUUCCCAGAUGUGUAGUGAUCCUUGGUUUUCCAUUUAUAUUUUAGAACGGGGAGCUGCUGGGAAUCUCUGAGCACGAGGGGGAGCUGUCCAUGUGGGCUUCCCGGUGUGGCGAUCCGACGAGGCUGUUGGCUUUGUAUAACCUCUAGUCUGCUAUCUUUAGGUCUCUCCCGAAAAUAAGCUUUCAGCCCCUGCCGGGUGGAUACCAUCCACGCUACUCGUGAUCUGGGAGCCAAGCCAGUGUGGAGUGGGGAGAAUCUCAACAUUUGGCACGGUUCUUUCCUCCGAGACAAGCUAACAUAUCUAUAAGGACUCCUUUACAAAGGUGUUUAUUAGCAGCAUGAUUUGUAACACUAAAUAUUAGAAACAGUCUACACCACGGUUCAGCCACCGUGACCCAUGGAUCAAAUCCAGCCUUUCUCCUAUUUUGGUAAGUAAAGUUGCACUGAAGCACAGCCACACCCACGUACACAUUGUUUAUAUUUCCUUUCAUGCUCUCACAGCAGAGACUAUGGCCAGCAAAGCCUAGAGUAUUCUCUAACUGGUCCUUUAAUAAAAAGUUUGCUGACCCCUGGUCCAAAUGACUAGUGAGAAAAUGGAUAAGCCAACUAAAGUACAUCACACGACAAAAUAGAAUAUAGUCAAUGGACAUUAUAUAUAGGAAGUGUUUUUAAACUGGUGAAAAAUACGCAUAACAAAAUUUAUCAUCAACCAUUUUUAAGUGGACAGUUCAGUAGCGUUAACUGUAUUCACAUUGUUAAAGAGCUUUGCAACAUUUUCAUCUUGCUGGGCGCCUGGGUGGCUUAGUCGGUUAAGCAUCGGACUCUUGAUUUCAGCUCAGGUCAUGCUCUCAUGGUUCGUGAGAUCGAGCCCCAUGUUGGGCUCUGCACUGACAGUGCGGAAACUGCUUGGGAUUCUCUCUUUCUGUCUCUGUCUCUGUCUCUCUCUCUCUGUCCCUCCCCCACUCACUCAUGCUCUCUCUCUCAAAAUAAAUAAACAUUGUUUUUAAUUGAAAAAAAAAAAAAAGAACAUUUUCAUCUUGUAAAUCUGAAACAUUGUACCCACUUAAUGCCAUUUUCCUUUUCGCCUCCCCUCCCUAGGCUCUGGUGAGCACCAUUAUACCUUACGUUUCUGUGAAUUUGACUACUUCAGUGAUCUCAUAUAAGCAGAAUCGUAUCGUUUUUUGUCUUUUUUUGCAACGGACUUAUUUUAUUUAGUGUGACAUCCUCAAAGUUUAUCCAUGUUGUAGCAUGUAACAGGAUUUCAUUCCUUCUUAAAGCUGAAUAAAAUUCCACUUUGUGUAUAUACCACA
Molecule: long non-coding RNA, 1893 nt
Organism: Neofelis nebulosa (Clouded leopard)
Lineage: Eukaryota; Metazoa; Chordata; Mammalia; Carnivora; Felidae
Exons: 2
Source: RefSeq, a predicted model, not a curated record